RNAcentral lists this unclassified non-coding RNA (316 nucleotides) under Hevea brasiliensis (rubber tree). Lineage: Eukaryota; Viridiplantae; Streptophyta; Magnoliopsida; Malpighiales; Euphorbiaceae. The record is from RNAcentral.
AAAGAAUUGAGUAUCGUCGCUUUGCUGCUGUCUUAAUAUUGAAGGAAAUGGCAGAAAAUGCUUCAACCGUCUUCAAUGUUCACGUGCCGGAGUUUGUGGAUGCUAUUUGGGUUGCUUUGAGGGAUCCAACAUUGGCUGUCCGGGAGAAGGCUGUUGAGGCAUUGCGUGCCUGCCUUCGUGUUAUUGAAAAGCGUGAGACACGAUGGCGUGUUCAGUGGUAUUAUCGAAUGUUUGAGGCUACCCAAGAUGGAUUGGGGAGAAAUGCGCCUGUUCAUAGUAUACAUGGAUCUCUUCUCGCAGUCGGGGAGUUGCUAAG